RNAcentral lists this small nucleolar RNA (119 nucleotides) under Setaria italica (foxtail millet). RNAcentral's name for it is "snoRNA snoZ278". It matches the Rfam family "Small nucleolar RNA Z278". Rfam says of the family: snoZ278 is a C/D box small nucleolar RNA. Its methylation guide targets have not been reported. RNAcentral also lists the same sequence under 1 other name. The record is from Rfam by way of RNAcentral. Lineage: Eukaryota; Viridiplantae; Streptophyta; Magnoliopsida; Poales; Poaceae.
GCCGCUGAUGAAAUCGCCCAAUGUUUUGGAGGCUGCAAUCGGCUUCAAGUUCCUGCCUAGCAGGAAGAACCUACUUGGAGCCGCUGCACUCAUAUGACAACACCGGGCUAAUCUGAGGU